CUGGUCUCCCGUAGCAACUCGAUCUCGGAUGACCCGCAUCGCACCACGAUUACUUCAAUUUCCCGCGAUUACUUCAAUUUCCCGCGUCCCUCCGCGAUUCUGUUUCCCACAUCCCUCCGCGAUUCCGCGUCCCUCCGCGAUUCCUUUUUCUGCGUCCCUCCGCGAUUCCGCGUCCCUCCGCGAUUCCGCAUCUCUCCGCGAUUCCUUUUUCCGCGUCCCUCCGCGAUUCCUUUUUCCGCGUCCCUCCGCGAUUCCGCGUCCCUCCAUGAUUCCGCUUCCCUCCGCGAUUCCGCGUCUCUCCACAAUUCCUUUUUCCGCGUCCCUCCGCGAUUCUGUUUCCCGCAUCCCCCCGCGAUUCCUUUACCCGCGUCCCCCCGCGAUUCCUUUGUUCAGGUCGGUGUGUAGAGUGCUUCAACGUCUCUCAGGUGUUCCAGCAUCCGCCAGGUCUGUCCUUGUCUCUCGUAGUUGGCCGUAGCCCUGCAGCGUCAGUCAGUGCUCUCUCUGUGGGAUUAUUCUGGGUUGUGCCUGCGUGCACAAAAGGAGGGGUCUGGGGUGCCUGCGAGCACAGUGGGAGGGGUCCUGGGUUCCUGGGUGGGACGUUUUAACACUAUAUAAGAUACUGUCACGCAGCAAUAAAUUGGCUUACGGCACAGAACACUGGUCGUUGUGUCCGUUUGUCCCGGGGCUUUCAGUCGGGUUAUCCUACAUAUGGUGACCCCGACGUGAUACGAACCCCGACGUGCAACCGGUUGGCGCGAGUUAGGCGCGGCGCGAGUUAGGCGCGGUGCGUACGUGCUAGGUACGCGGGUGGCCAUGGGGCCUGGAGUCGAUGAGGUGCGACUCCUGCUUAUCCUCGCCUUGUGCCCUGCAGUGUACGGGGGCUACUGGCAGGAGUAUGCUGUGGGCUACCGGACCGCUCCGCUGUUUCCAACGCCAUACGCUUACAACCUACGGUCUGCUGAGCCAGUACUCAACGGGACACUUCGUGGGUUGUUCCCGCCUGUUACUUGCCAGGGAAGGAAGCUGUCUACCAUCCUUAUCCAUGCCACCGUGCAGGCAGGUAUCAAUCUGACACAUGAAAUACACUUGUCAUCGGACGGCACCACACAUGCGACGGAGGACAGAAAAGAAACUGAUCUGCCAGUGGCGCAAUUGUGCGGCUCCAUUGACAUUUGGGACAAGGGGACAACGGCGGAUGUGACCAUUCCGCCAUGGACAGUUAAGACCAUGGUGCGCAAUCAGUCGGUGGCCUGGUUGUGGGUGGGGCCACCGGGCCAAGCUCCUGCACCGGAGGACUUUUCCUUGGGGAUGUUUGGACUGUAAAUAGCCAUGCGACGGCCCCUUACCAAUCGGUCCGCAUCGCGCAUGUUUCGAACUCUGUUCAUUGGCAUUUACCUAACCCCUAUUGGUUGCUCUGUUCUCAGGAACGUGCUUGGAAGGUGAUUCCAGCUAACACGACACUUGGUUUGUGCUCUAUGGGUCUGCUAUUGUGGCUGCAUCGCACUGCUCGCAGCCCUUGAGCAACCCGAGGAGUCU
This 1536-nucleotide long non-coding RNA is filed under the name Anas platyrhynchos (mallard). RNAcentral's name for it is "lncRNA (ENSAPLG00020010763.1)". Lineage: Eukaryota; Metazoa; Chordata; Aves; Anseriformes; Anatidae. The record is from RNAcentral.